CCAGACUCCUACGGGAGGCAGCAGUGGGGGAUAUUGCACAAUGGGGGGAACCCUGAUGCAGCGACGCCGCGUGGGUGAAGAAGCGCCUCGGCGCGUAAAGCCCUGUCAGCAGGGAAGAAAAUGACGGUACCUGAAGAAGAAGCCCCGGCUAACUACGUGCCAGCAGCCGCGGUAAUACGUAGGGGGCAAGCGUUAUCCGGAUUUACUGGGUGUAAAGGGAGCGUAGACGGUCCUGCAAGCCAGAUGUGAAAGCCCGGGGCUCAACCCCGGGACUGCAUUUGGAACUGUAAGGCUAGAGUGUCGGAGAGGCAGGCGGAAUUCCUAGUGUAGCGGUGAAAUGCGUAGAUAUUAGGAGGAACACCAGUGGCGAAGGCGGCCUGCUGGACGAUGACUGACGUUGAGGCUCGAAAGCGUGGGGAGCAAACAGGAUUAGAUACCCGAGUA
Molecule: ribosomal RNA, 444 nt
Filed under: uncultured bacterium
Lineage: Bacteria
Description: bacterial SSU rRNA
Rfam family: Bacterial small subunit ribosomal RNA
Source: RNAcentral